RNAcentral lists this transfer RNA (77 nucleotides) under Acidobacteriaceae bacterium. Its description in RNAcentral is "tRNA-Arg". It matches the Rfam family "tRNA". Rfam says of the family: Transfer RNA (tRNA) molecules are approximately 80 nucleotides in length. Their secondary structure includes four short double-helical elements and three loops (D, anti-codon, and T loops). Lineage: Bacteria; Pseudomonadati; Acidobacteriota; Terriglobia; Terriglobales; Acidobacteriaceae. RNAcentral also lists the same sequence under 1 other name. The record is from RNAcentral.
GCGCCCGUAGCUCAGAUGGAUAGAGCGAACGCCUCCGAAGCGUUAGGUCACAAGUUCGAAUCUUGUCGGGCGCACCA